GAUCUUGGCUCAGAUUGAACGCUGGCGGCAGGCCUAACACAUGCAAGUCGAACGGUAACAGGAAGAAGCUUGCUUCUUUGCUGACGAGUGGCGGACGGGUGAGUAAUGUCUGGGAAACUGCCUGAUGGAGGGGGAUAACUACUGGAAACGGUAGCUAAUACCGCAUAACGUCGCAAGACCAAAGAGGGGGGACCUUCGGGCCUCUUGCAUCGAUGUGCCAGAUGGGAUUAGCUAGUAGGUGGGUAACGG
This 249-nucleotide ribosomal RNA is filed under the name uncultured bacterium. Its description in RNAcentral is "partial 16S ribosomal RNA". It matches the Rfam family "Bacterial small subunit ribosomal RNA", at positions 15 to 263 of the family's 1533-position model. The record is from RNAcentral.